Molecule: non-coding RNA, 112 nt
Organism: Acanthosepion pharaonis
Lineage: Eukaryota; Metazoa; Mollusca; Cephalopoda; Sepiida; Sepiidae
Source: the annotation of a GenBank genome assembly
UCAGCCAUAUCACGUCGAAACAUUGGUUCCCGUACGAUUACCGAAGUUAAGCAACGCCAAGCCUGGUCAGUACCUAAGUCGGUGACCACUUGUGAAUAUUAGGUGCUGUAAG